AACUUUCAACAACGGAUCUCUUGGUUCUCGCAUCGAUGAAGAACGCAGCGAAAUGCGAUAAGUAGUGUGAAUUGCAGAAUUCAGUGAAUCAUCGAAUCUUUGAACGCA
RNAcentral lists this ribosomal RNA (108 nucleotides) under uncultured fungus. Its description in RNAcentral is "5.8S ribosomal RNA". It matches the Rfam family "5.8S ribosomal RNA", at positions 1 to 108 of the family's 154-position model. From Rfam's summary of the family: 5.8S ribosomal RNA (5.8S rRNA) is a component of the large subunit of the eukaryotic ribosome. Lineage: Eukaryota; Fungi. RNAcentral also lists the same sequence under 1 other name. The record is from RNAcentral.